Molecule: unclassified non-coding RNA, 339 nt
Filed under: soil metagenome
Description: partial contains 5.8S ribosomal RNA, internal transcribed spacer 2, and large subunit ribosomal RNA
Rfam family: 5.8S ribosomal RNA (bases 1-120)
Source: RNAcentral
GAUGAAGAACGCAGCGAAAUGCGAUAAGUAGUGUGAAUUGCAGAAUUCAGUGAAUCAUCGAAUCUUUGAACGCACAUUGCGCCCGCCAGUAUUCUGGCGGGCAUGCCUGUCCGAGCGUCAUUUCAACCAUCAAGCCCCCGGGCUUGUGUUGGGGACCUGCGGCUGCCCGCAGGCCCUGAAAACCAGUGGCGGGCUCGCUGUCACACCGAGCGUAGUAGCAAUCACCUCGCUCAGGGCGUGCUGCGGGUUCCGGCCGUUAAACAGCCUUACAAACCCCAAGGUUGACCUCGGAUCAGGUAGGAAGACCCGCUGAACUUAAGCAUAUCAAUAAGCGGAGGA